Molecule: ribosomal RNA, 493 nt
Filed under: uncultured bacterium
Lineage: Bacteria
Description: partial 16S ribosomal RNA
Rfam family: Bacterial small subunit ribosomal RNA
Source: RNAcentral
ACGAACGCUGGCGGCGUGCUUAACACAUGCAAGUCGAACGGUGAAGCGCCUUCCUUUUUGGUGGGUGUGGAUGAGUGGCGAACGGGUGAGUAACACGUGAGUAACCUGCCCCCUUCUUCUGGAUAACCGCAUGAAAGUGUGGCUAAUACGGGAUAUUCUGGGUCUGUCGCAUGACGGGUCUGGGAAAGAUAUUGUUUCGGUGGGGGAUGGGCUCGCGGCCUAUCAGCUUGUUGGUGGGGUGAUGGCCUACCAAGGCGGUGACGGGUAGCCGGCCUGAGAGGGUGGACGGUCACACUGGGACUGAGACACGGCCCAGACUCCUACGUGAGGCAGCAGUGGGGAAUAUUGCACAAUGGGCGCGAGCCUGAUGCAGCGACGCCGCGUGAGGGAUGGAGGCCUUCGGGUUGUGAACCUCUUUCGCCAGUGAAGCAGGCCUGCCUCGUUUGUGGGUGGGUUGACGGUAGCUGGAUAAGAAGCGCCGGCUAACUACGUG